GCGGUACUCUGACCGUGCAAAGGUAGCAUAAUCAUUUGCCUUAUAAUUGAAGGCUAGUAUGAAUGGUUUGACGAGAAUUAAGCUGUCUCUUUUCAACUAAAUAUAAUUUUAUUUAUAGGUGAAGAAGCCUAUAUUCUAUUGAAAGACAAGAAGACCCUAUCGAGCUUAAAAGAAUUUAAUAAAUUUAUCAUAUAUUUAUAAAAAAGUAAAAUUAUUAAAGAUUUUGGUUGGGGCGACUGAGGAACAAGAAAAGCUUCCUUUAUUUUCAUUAAAACUUACAAGUAUUGAUCCAAUAAAUUUGAUUAAAGAAAUUAGUUACCGUAGGGAUAACAGCAUAAUCCUCUUUGAGAGCCCUUAUCGAAAAGGGGGUUUGUGACCUCGAUGUUGGACCAGAAUAUCCAGAAGAUGCAGCCGUCUUCAAUGGUUGGUCUGUUCGACCAUUAAAAUUCU
This 450-nucleotide ribosomal RNA is filed under the name Rapana venosa (veined rapa whelk). Its description in RNAcentral is "partial 16S ribosomal RNA". It matches the Rfam family "Bacterial large subunit ribosomal RNA", at positions 1933 to 2597 of the family's 2925-position model. Lineage: Eukaryota; Metazoa; Mollusca; Gastropoda; Neogastropoda; Muricidae. The record is from RNAcentral.